UAGGACAUCGUGUUCGACAUUUGUCUCCUGAAUAACAGAAUUUCACUUUAGCUUCAUCCUCGUUAUAUUUUUAUUCAUAGAAACACAAACCAUUUGUGAACCACAUCCACUGUAUGAGGUUUCUUGAGCUAACUUUUUUCAUUCACUUUUCCUAUCUACAAGUCAAAAUGUAUUAGCAUGACAUUAUAAUUAUAACAGAUGCAAAACAU
Molecule: long non-coding RNA, 209 nt
Filed under: Lathyrus oleraceus (garden pea)
Lineage: Eukaryota; Viridiplantae; Streptophyta; Magnoliopsida; Fabales; Fabaceae
Description: Pisum sativum (pea) long non-coding RNA (PSAT_LNC031962)
Source: RNAcentral